AGAGUUUGAUCCUGGCUCAGAACGAACGCUGGCGGCAGGCUUAACACAUGCAAGUCGAACGAAGGCUUCGGCCUUAGUGGCGGACGGGUGAGUAACGCGUGGGAAUUUGCCUCAUGGUACGGAAUAACUCCGGGAAACCGGCGCUAAUACCGUAUAAGCCCUACGGGGGAAAGAUUUAUCGCCAUGAGAUGAGCCCGCGUCCGAUUAGCUAGUUGGUAGGGUAAUGGCCUACCAAGGCGAUGAUCGGUAGCUGGUCUGAGAGGAUGAUCAGCCACACUGGGACUGAGACACGGCCCAGACUCCUACGGGAGGCAGCAGUGGGGAAUAUUGGACAAUGGGCGCAAGCCUGAUCCAGCCAUGCCGCGUGAGUGAUGAAGGCCUUAGGGUUGUAAAGCUCUUUCGGCGG
Molecule: ribosomal RNA, 406 nt
Filed under: uncultured bacterium
Lineage: Bacteria
Description: bacterial SSU rRNA
Rfam family: Bacterial small subunit ribosomal RNA
Source: RNAcentral